AUACGGCCAUAUCACGUUCAAGCACCGGUUCUCGUACGAUCACCAAAGUUAAGCAACGUCGAGCCAGGUCAUUAUCUAGAUGGGUGACCGUUUGGGAAUGCCAGGUGC
Molecule: non-coding RNA, 108 nt
Organism: Acanthosepion pharaonis
Lineage: Eukaryota; Metazoa; Mollusca; Cephalopoda; Sepiida; Sepiidae
Source: the annotation of a GenBank genome assembly